UUUAUCUAACAACGGGAGUGUGUAGGGAUAUAUAUAACUAUUAGUUAUCUGUAAUUGAGAUAAUGAAGACAUGUCGUUGAAUUGUAGAGAUUAGAUCGGAUAGCCUAGAUUUGAAAUAUUUAAAUAGCCCAAAAUCCUACUUAUCCAAAACAUUCAGCCUCCACCCCAUUCAAAACAUCCUGAUCUCCCUUCCUGCCCCCACCUCUCAUUUUUUUUAAUUGAUUUGCGACCCGCUACUUCUAUAAUAUUGACGUCGAUAUUUCCACCGUCGAUGGGCGAGCAUAUUUUUGGUGAGUUCACUCUCGGUUUCAUGGUUGCAGUUUGAAGCUAUCAUUCAUCUCGGAUGGCGGAUUCAUUGUAAUGAUAGCUAAAUCUGCUUUUCAUUCGUCGGUGGAGGUGAGUUCUGUUCGUUUGUGGAGAUCUAUGCGUCGAUGUAUCUGCUUUUUGGUGGAGAUCUAGCCGUCAUUAGAGAUCUAGGCGUCGGUGGAUUUUCUUUUCAGUGGAGAUCUAGUUGUCGGUGGAUCUAGGCGCUGAAUCUAAUCUUCGUUCGUCGGAGGAGGUGAGUUUCGUUGGUCGGUGAAGAGAUGAGUUUCAUUCUUCAGUAGAAAUCUAGGCAUCGGUGGAGAUCUUGGCAUUCGAAGACGGCCAUGAUCAGCGAUCUAUCUUCCUCCCUAAAUUUUGGUCCUAUGUAAUUGACUAUUAAUCGACUCUUUCAUUCUUUUUUUUUACCGUUCGUCGUCCGCAAUGAUCGGUGGCCAAACUUGUUCAAAUUUAAUAUGAUAUAUUUUGGGACUUAGAUAGGAUUAUGUUAUGAGUUAAUGUUUGAUGGUUAGGUCUAAUUGAAAUCGAUUUAAUUUAAGUAUUGUUCUGAAGUGGUUAUGUGAUAAUGAUUUUUACUCGAUUAAGUUAUUAAGAUGAAAUGUCAACUCUAAUGUUAACAGUAUCUUGAAUGAAUGAAAUAUUAAAUGAGUUAUGGUUAUGUUAAUCGGAUAUUUCGCAUUCAAAUCCACUUCUACAAAUUAAUAUUCUAAAUGAGACAAGAGAUAAUGAAUUGUAACAUGAUUAACUAUACACAAAUAUAACCUCAAUUGACAUAUUAAAAGAAUAUGAAACGAAAAAUCAUGUUACAUGAACUAUAUUUAAAGUUGAUCGACGGAUAUGACCAAUUCAAGUUUACUUAAUCUUAUUUGCUUAUAGGCUUAAGGGGGAGAGCAUCUGGCAAUGUACGACUGCUCCUUAUCAAUCCUGGACUAGGUGUCGGUUGCAGAAGAUAAGAGAUAUAGUGGUUCAGCACGUCUCUAGCGAUGAGGAUGCUACACCUUUAUGGGAUAGGAAUUACAUGGAUUGCUACUCUGUCUCUCUCGUUUGGAGCUCCAUUCAUACAUCGGGAUAUGUGGUGCCUUGGUUCUCUUUGGUUUGGCAGGCCCCUGCUAUACCUAAGUACUCUUUUGCUAAUUGGUUAGCUGUCUAGCGAAAGUUGGUCACAAAUUUAGAUAUAGCUACUUGGGGGUUGAGUCUGGACUCCUGUUAUCUUUGUAAUACAGGGACUUAUUGCAUUGAUCAUAUUAUGCAUUCUUGUGAUUGAAAGUUAUUGUUUUGGUAUAUUGACCAACUUGCCACGGUGAUGACUGGGAGGAUGAUAUUAUGUUGAAUGGUCGGAAGUUUUUUAGUGAUAAUGGCAAUGCUUGGGGGCUGACCGCUUAUUUUGGAGGUCCAUUGUUAGUCCUCUUUGGUAUGAGAGAUGUAGAAAGCGAGCUCGUGAGCAUCAUAGUUUAUCAAGAGAUAGAUGUCUUCAUAUGCAAGGAGAUAGUGUAUAGAUUACGUUAGUUUUUUGUUUUCCGUCAUUUUUCUUGUGGAACUUUGUAGAGUUUCAUUGGUGGGUUUGCAUCCUACAUUCCAGCAAUUUGAUGUAUAAAAAUAAUAUUAAUAAAAAAGAUAUUGACUCACAACGCUAUUAACUUACGAAAAUGUAACUUCAAUUUACUCUAUUAAAAGAAUCUUGAAUGAAGGAUCAUGUAAUUAUAUGAGCUUAAUUAUAU
RNAcentral lists this long non-coding RNA (2039 nucleotides) under Linum usitatissimum (flax). RNAcentral's name for it is "long non-coding RNA (LUSI_LNC005163)". Lineage: Eukaryota; Viridiplantae; Streptophyta; Magnoliopsida; Malpighiales; Linaceae. The record is from RNAcentral.